GAUGAACGCUGGCGGCGUGCUUAACACAUGCAAGUCGAACGAUGAAGCCCAGCUUGCUGGGUGGAUUAGUGGCGAACGGGUGAGUAACACGUGAGUAACCUGCUCUUAACUCUGGGAUAAGCCUGGGAAACUGGGUCUAAUACCGGAUAGGAGCGUCCACCGCAUGGUGGGUGUUGGAAAGAUUUAUCGGUUUUGGAUGGACUCGCGGCCUAUCAGCUUGUUGGUGAGGUAAUGGCUCACCAAGGCGACGACGGGUAGCCGGCCUGAGAGGGUGACCGGCCACACUGGGACUGAGACACGGCCCAGACUCCUACGGGAGGCAGCAGUGGGGAAUAUUGCACAAUGGGCGCAAGCCUGAUGCAGCGACGCCGCGUGAGGGAUGACGGCCUUCGGGUUGUAAACCUCUUUCAGUAGGGAAGAAGCGAAAGUGACGGUACCUGCAGAAGAAGCACCGGCUAACUACGUG
Molecule: ribosomal RNA, 466 nt
Filed under: uncultured bacterium
Lineage: Bacteria
Description: partial 16S ribosomal RNA
Rfam family: Bacterial small subunit ribosomal RNA
Source: RNAcentral